GAUGAACGCUGGCGGCGUGCUUAACACAUGCAAGUCGAACGAUGACCAGGGUGCUUGCACCUUGUGAUUAGUGGCGAACGGGUGAGUAACACGUGAGUAACCUGCCCCUGACUCUGGGAUAAGCCCGGGAAACUGGGUCUAAUACUGGAUAUGACUGCUGGCCGCAUGGUCUGGUGGUGGAAAGAUUUUUUGGUUGGGGAUGGACUCGCGGCCUAUCAGCUUGUUGGUGAGGUAGUGGCUCACCAAGGCGACGACGGGUAGCCGGCCUGAGAGGGUGACCGGCCACACUGGGACUGAGACACGGCCCAGACUCCUACGGGAGGCAGCAGUGGGGAAUAUUGCACAAUGGGCGCAAGCCUGAUGCAGCGACGCCGCGUGAGGGAUGACGGCCUUCGGGUUGUAAACCUCUUUCAGUAGGGAAGAAGCCUUUCGGGGUGACGGUACCUGCAGAAGAAGCGCCGGCUAACUACGUGCCAGCAGCCGCGGUAAUACGUAGGGCGCAAGCGUUAUCCGGAUUUAUUGGGCGUAAAGAGCUCGUAGGCGGUUUGUCGCGUCUGCCGUGAAAGUCCGGGGCUUAACUCCGGAUCUGCGGUGGGUACGGGCAGACUAGAGUGCAGUAGGGGAGACUGGAAUUCCUGGUGUAGCGGUGAAAUGCGCAGAUAUCAGGAGGAACACCGAUGGCGAAGGCAGGUCUCUGGGCUGUAACUGACGCUGAGGAGCGAAAGCAUGGGGAGCGAACAGGAUUAGAUACCCUGGUAGUCCAUGCCGUAAACGUUGGGCACUAGGUGUGGGGGACAUUCCACGUUUUCCGCGCCGUAGCUAACGCAUUAAGUGCCCCGCCUGGGGAGUACGGCCGCAAGGCUAAAACUCAAAGGAAUUGACGGGGGCCCGCACAAGCGGCGGAGCAUGCGGAUUAAUUCGAUGCAACGCGAAGAACCUUACCAAGGCUUGACAUGGACUAGACCGGAUCAGAGAUGGUUCUUCCCUUUGGGGCUGGUUCACAGGUGGUGCAUGGUUGUCGUCAGCUCGUGUCGUGAGAUGUUGGGUUAAGUCCCGCAACGAGCGCAACCCUCGUUCCAUGUUGCCAGCACGUUGUGGUGGGGACUCAUGGGAGACUGCCGGGGUCAACUCGGAGGAAGGUGAGGACGACGUCAAAUCAUCAUGCCCCUUAUGUCUUGGGCUUCACGCAUGCUACAAUGGCCGGUACAAAGGGUUGCGAUACUGUGAGGUGGAGCUAAUCCCAAAAAGCCGGUCUCAGUUCGGAUUGGGGUCUGCAACUCGACCCCAUGAAGUCGGAGUCGCUAGUAAUCGCAGAUCAGCAACGCUGCGGUGAAUACGUUCCCGGGCCUUGUACACACCGC
Molecule: ribosomal RNA, 1361 nt
Filed under: uncultured bacterium
Lineage: Bacteria
Description: partial 16S ribosomal RNA
Rfam family: Bacterial small subunit ribosomal RNA
Source: RNAcentral